RNAcentral lists this ribosomal RNA (709 nucleotides) under Brevibacterium sp. CUA-675. Its description in RNAcentral is "bacterial SSU rRNA". It matches the Rfam family "Bacterial small subunit ribosomal RNA", at positions 62 to 780 of the family's 1533-position model. The record is from RNAcentral. Lineage: Bacteria; Bacillati; Actinomycetota; Actinomycetes; Micrococcales; Brevibacteriaceae.
UCGAACGCUGAAGCCUGGUGCUUGCACCGGGUGGAUGAGUGGCGAACGGGUGAGUAACACGUGAGUAACCUGCCCCUGACUUCGGGAUAAGCCCGGGAAACUGGGUCUAAUACCGGAUACGACUGCCGGACGCAUGUCUGGUGGUGGAAAGUUUUUUCGGUUGGGGAUGGGCUCGCGGCCUAUCAGUUUGUUGGUGAGGUAAUGGCUCACCAAGACGACGACGGGUAGCCGGCCUGAGAGGGCGACCGGCCACACUGGGACUGAGACACGGCCCAGACUCCUACGGGAGGCAGCAGUGGGGAAUAUUGCACAAUGGGGGAAACCCUGAUGCAGCGACGCAGCGUGCGGGAUGACGGCCUUCGGGUUGUAAACCGCUUUCAGCAGGGAAGAAGCGCAAGUGACGGUACCUGCAGAAGAAGUACCGGCUAACUACGUGCCAGCAGCCGCGGUAAUACGUAGGGUACGAGCGUUGUCCGGAAUUAUUGGGCGUAAAGAGCUCGUAGGUGGUUGGUCACGUCUGCUGUGGAAACGCAACGCUUAACGUUGCGCGUGCAGUGGGUACGGGCUGACUAGAGUGCAGUAGGGGAGUCUGGAAUUCCUGGUGUAGCGGUGAAAUGCGCAGAUAUCAGGAGGAACACCGGUGGCGAAGGCGGGACUCUGGGCUGUAACUGACACUGAGGAGCGAAAGCAUGGGGAGCGAACAGGAUUA